GUGCUAGCUUUAGCAGCACAUACACUAAAACUGGAACCAUACAGAGAAAAUUAGCAUGGCCCCUGAGCAAGGAUGACACACAAAUUCGUGAAGUGUUCUAUAUUAAA
Molecule: small nuclear RNA, 107 nt
Organism: Peromyscus californicus insignis
Lineage: Eukaryota; Metazoa; Chordata; Mammalia; Rodentia; Cricetidae
Source: RefSeq, a predicted model, not a curated record